Molecule: non-coding RNA, 5344 nt
Organism: Pelobates cultripes (western spadefoot toad)
Lineage: Eukaryota; Metazoa; Chordata; Amphibia; Anura; Pelobatidae
Source: the annotation of a GenBank genome assembly
UGCAAAUUCAAAAUGUUCAAUAAUUCUCCUUGCAUGUCCAAGAAAUCACGGAAAAAGAUGACUGGCAAACACGUGAUAGUCCACGUUUCUCUUUUUAUUUGAUAAAUAUGUAUUAUGUAGCAUAAGUGUAAUAUUUUAUAAAUUUCUUUUUUUCAGAUUUAUAGGGAUUCAAAUUUGCUUUAAAAUCGGAGCCUUGAUAUUAUUUAUUGCCGUUUACUGUUUGUUACGCAUUAAAGACAAGAAAAAAAUGGAUGAACAUACCUCAACGAAAAGAUUGGAAGAACACACUUUGAAUGAAAAGUCCCCCAUCUGAGAAUUUUAAUUCAUAUAUUGACGGUGGAAAAAAACAAACAAAUUGGAAUUCAGAUGUAUGCUGUCAACACAGCUGGGUUUCUUUAAAUUUAAUGAUACUCAAGGCACAAACGCAAACUUGGAAAAAAAAAUGAAUUUCCACAUUACCCUACUUAAUUACCGAAUGUCAAGUCAACAAGUCAAAAUUUUGAUAAAGGGAUCAGCAAGGAGUGAUAUAUAACAUUCUGAAACUCGGAGGGAAUGGAAUAGUUCAUAGUUUAACCUGUUUGCCAAUUAUGUUCUCCCAAAUACUAUUCAAUAUUUAGAAAAUCCUUUCAUGAAGUUUAUGAGGAGUUAAGGAUUCAUUUUCUGGACUGCAAGACUGAUUAAAUAAUUUCACAAAUAUCUCUUAUAACCUUAAAAACAUGAUACCAUUAUCCACGUGUACUAAGAUUUAAAUAGACAACAAUACCAGUAAACAUUGCACUAUGAUGCAGUUUUUACAUAAAUGGCCGUUUAUGGGCUCUAACUGGUUUAUCUCAGCUGUAACAGGUUCAUCUCUUGCACAACAAUGGGAACCUACACCUACAUCCGUGAUAUAUGAGAAAAGCUGGAGUGAGUCUGCUAUUUUUCACUUUAUUUCAGCUCCCAUAGUCUGGCGAUGUGGGAAUAUAUUGGAAGUGUUAGUCACAAAAAAUACAGGCGCCCAUUCUUUUCUUCCAACGACCACACCGGACAUUCUGAAAACUUCUGGUGUCUUCAUGACUGCACUACGGGUCAACGAUGAAUAAUAUCAAUCCACUGGAAAGUCAUCUGUGAAUAUUGGCUUUAAUGGUUUACUUUCAAAAACUGAGUUUGGAUAUCACUUGACAUUUAAUAAUUAUUUGAGGCAGGGCCAGAUUAACAUAGGGGCUGAUGGAGCUGCAGCUCCAGGCCCAGGCCCAGGCCCAUGGAAUAGACCCAUUGAUUUAAAAAAAAAAAAAAAUAUAUAUAUAUAUAUAUAUAUAUUUAAAAAAAAAAAUUUCACACACUACUCUUGGGGAUUCCACCUAGCUUUUAUUUUAUUGGCACAGCCAGUAUUUGAGGCUGCCUGGCUGGUGCCAAUAUUGCAGUGAUAUUGGCAAUUCAAAUGCUGGUAUUUUUCUCAGUAUAAACAAGAGAUUACUAUGCAAUACCAGCACUGGCCAGUAGGGGUGUGUGGAGACAGGCAGGGAUAGGAAGUUCCAGCAUAUCCCUCCCUGCCUAUCUAUACUCACUGAUCUGCAGGGGUGCAGCUACAGAGAGUCCAGACAGCAACGCCCACCCUGCAGAAAGAGCCUGCAGCUCAGGGAAGUAAGGGAUGGGGGAAAGGCUGCAAGGAGACAUACACUGAGACAAUAAGGGACACUGGGAGAUAUUAUGGCAGACACUGAGACACUAAGGGACAUUGGGAGACAUUAUGACACAGACACAUGGGGACACAAUGUCCCCAUGUCUCCCAGUGUCCCCAUGUCUCCCAGCCAGUGUCCCUGGUGUCUCAGUGCCCCCUAUUCUCCCAGUGUCUCACUGUCCCCAUGUCUCCUCGUGCCUCCAUGUCUCCCAGUGCCUCAAGUGUCUCAAUGUCCCCAUGUCUCCAAGCUAGUGUCCCUAGUGUCUGUGGCCGUGGAGUCUCAGUGUCCCCAUGUCUCCCAGUGCCCCCAUGUCUCAAUGUCCCCAUGUCCCCCAGCCAGUGUCUCUAGUGUCUGUGUCCCCAUGUCUUCAAGUGUCCCCUAUUUUCCCAGUGUCCCCAUGUGUGCCAGCCAGUGUCCCCUAGUUUCCCAGUGUCAUUGGUGUCUCUGUGUCCCUAGGUCUCCCCGUGUCCCCAGGUCUCCCCGUCUUCCUAGUGUCCUAGUGACACAUACAUGGGGACAUAGACACAUGGGAAUAUUAGAGGACACAGGGAGACAUGGGGCAUUGAGACACUGUGAUACAUAGGAACGCUGAGACCUGGAGUAAUCGACACAUGUGGGCACUGGGAAACAUGGGGGCACUGGGAGGAAUCCAUCUAUACAGCAUAAUCAAACUAAGUAGUUUUUGGGUGAUUUUACAGCAUUUCUCUUAUGUCACUACUUGUGAUUUACAUCAUGUAAUGUCACACAUACAUAUUUAAUUAUUCAAAUUAGUAAGGCCGGUAUGUUUUUCCAAGAAAGGUGGCAACCCUAACUACUUUUCACAUACUCUUACUUAAGUAUGGAAACUUAAAUGGGAUGUAUGGGAACAAAACUUGUGUGGACUGGCUGACAAUGAAUAUAGUUAAAGGGACACUAUAGUCACAAGAACAACUACAGCUUAUUGAAUUUGUUCUGGUUAGUAGAAUCAUUACUUUCAGGCUUUUUGCUAGAAACACUGUCUUUUCAGAGAAAAUGCAGUGUUUGCAUUACAGCCUAGUGAUAACUUCACUGGCCACUCCUUAGAUGGCUGUUAGAGAUCCUUCCUGGGUCAUGGCUGCCUAAAAUGCAUCCAAACAUUCAGUAUCUCCUCCCUCUGCAUGCAGACACUGAACUUUCCUCAUAGAGAUUCAUUUAUUCAAUUUAUUCAUAGCUGCUGUUUUCUUUCUCUCCAGCACCAUCUCCAUCAGAUACAUGACGCUUGGGAGUGUUUUACUGUUUUUGGUCGAUAUGAUUCUUUAAUUAGGCCCGUCAUAAUUGUCAGCACCAGGCCUACUGUGCUGUUAAUCUGGCCCUGAUUUGAGGACAUAUUUUGGCAGACACCUGUUAUUUGUUUUUGGAGUCUAGAAAAGUCGCACUGCCUGAAAUGUUCUAGCAUUAAAUGCAAUAGUUUUUAGAACUUUUACGUUAAAGCAGCUCUGUUAACAGUCUGGCUCUGUUUAAAGUUUUGCUUUAAAUUAUUUUCUUGUCCUGUAUCCUCUUUGUUUUUUUUUGUUUUUUUUUAAAUUCAUGGGCUACUCUUUCUUAUGGGCAAUGCGAAAUGUUGGCAGUGGGCUUAUCGAAAACAAAUUUCCAAAUUAGUUGCUAAAUUAGUUUACCCACAAUUCAUCAGUCAAAAUAAUCACACAUAACAAAAUUGCUCGCAGGUGUUCAGAUCCAGUGCGAGGAGGAAAAUAAAAUGAAUAUAAAUAAAAAUGGCAAAGAGUCGAGUAUAAUCAUGAAAAUACAAUGGGCAUACGGAAUGGGAAAUCAUAUAUUUUUUUUAUUAUUAAUUUUUCAUGUUCACAAUUCACAUAUAAUGACAAGGGAUCAUUUUUACAAUGACAUCGAGACCGAGACACUUUAAUCACAUCUAGUUAAAGUAAAAAUGUACAAUAAAUACCUUUAGAAUGACAGCUGGACAAAUACUUCCAAGAAAAGGCUUCAGGCACUCACUGUGUUCAAAGGUAAGGCAGGUUUAUUGGACCAUCACGUACACAGCUGACAGAAUGGUGACUAACAGGUUUAUUCUCUAAAAUGAGAAUUGUUGAGAAAUUAAAGUAAUUUUUAAUUUUAAGGCCAAAAUAGCCAAACCGGAAAAAAAGUUCUAGUAAGCUAUGCUUCCAGUUCGUCUACUUUCGCCUUAAAUAUUAAAUUCUCCUUAAAUUCACUUUUACUUCCCUUAGAGACCCUUGCCAGUUUGGCUUUAUUGACUGGUGGAACAGUCUGCCUAACGCCAUCAGACUCUCCUCUAGUCUUGAAUCGUUUAAGUCAUGCCUUAAAACCCAUCUCUUUAGGAAAGCUUAUGGCCUCCCAGAGCAACCUCUACCUCACGUACCUGUCUCUUGCUCUCUCCUAUAGGGCAGUGCUUUACUCUCUCCUCCAGCUCUGCUUCACUCCACCUUGUUUGAUUGCUACCUCCUGUCCUUAUGUGUUUUACAUCCCACCUCCUAUAGACUGUAAGCUCCUUUGAGCAGGGUCCUCUUCAAUCUAUCGUUCCUGUAAGUUUUCUUGUAAUUGUCCAAUUUAUAGCUAAAUCCCCCCUCUUAUUAUAUUGUAAAGUGCUACGGAAUCUGUUGGCGCUAUAUAAAUGACAAUAAUAAUAAUAAUAAUAAAAAAUGGAUUCUAUAGUUCCUGAAAAACAAAGCCGUUUUCCGGAGAGGGAGACCUAAUGCGCAUUCGCGACAAGUGUCAUGCUCGCAUUAGGAUUCCCUAUGGGGAUUUGCUUUCCUAUGGGGAUUUGAUUGACGCUGGAUGUCCUCAUGCCCUUACUGUUGCUUUUAAAUACCAUAUGUAUCAUCUAUUUAAUUUGCAAAAAUACUUAAAAUCAGUUUGCAAGAUAUUAUUUAAUGAUCUAGCUACACUGGAACAGUGCAAUGAUAAAAUAAUCUUUUGAACCAGAAUGUGAAGAGUAAAAUAAUAUUAUACUACUUUAUACUAUACAUUUUCUACUACUGAAACCAAAAUUUAUAACAAAAUAAAAGCGAGUUUAUUCAUCUAUCAUUGCUUAUGCUUUGCUAUGUUUCUGCUGUUUGAUGUUCUACACAUGGUGGAUGCAAUAUAUUUUAGAUAAUAAUCUGUUUUGCUCCAUAAACCCAACCUGUCCUUCCAUCACCGCCUGUUCUCAAGAAUUCUAUUUUUACUGUAAAAAUGGUGCUGUACAUGUUGUCAUGCCUUAGAUUGGUGGGCGUUGUAGUUCAGCUGGGAGCUUCGUACAGCAGAAAGCUGACAACAAAUUCAACUUCCAGAAACUGUAAAAGCUGACUAGAACGCACUGCUGAUAGGAUAAAUCAGAAGUGCUAUAGAAAGCUGUGUGAUUCAUCAAUCACAUGUCUACUUUUAACCAUUUCAAAUUAAAGGGGCACUAUAUGAGAUGAAGUGUUCUUGGUGCAUGUUCGAAAAUCUACUUGCUUCCCCCAUGAUUCCGCUAUGUAACUAUGUUUCCUGCAACUGUCUUAGCUUGGACAGAAGAAUCUAUAUUUACUUUAUAUGGGAUUCAUAUUGAGAAUAUAGUCAAGGUUUCCGCACAUUAGUCCACAUUGAAUUCAGUAUGGAUCUGUUUAGAGACUUUAUUCUAAAAGAUGUCUUUUAAAAUAGACUUCAUUGAAAAUUGAAGCUGAUUUGCAUUGUAUCCCCUUACUGUUGCUUUUAAAUACCAUAUGUACUAG